GUGGCAAUCCCUUGGGGGCAAGAAUCACAUAUAAUACGAUCAGUAUAGUGCCUAACAUUCUGAUUGGGACUCUUCUUUGGUGAAGACUUUCAAACUGAAGAAGAGGGAAAAGAGGCGCUCUACUAGCCGACAGUUUGUUGAUGGUCCCCCUGGACCUGUAAAGAAAACUCGUUCCAUUGGCUCCACAGUAGACCAGGGGAAUGAAUCCAUAGUUGCAAAAACUACAGUGACUGUUCCCAAUGAUGGCGGGCCCAUCGAAGCUGUGUCCACUAUUGAGACUGUGCCGUAUUGGACCAGGAGCCGAAGGAAAACAGGUACUUUACAACCUUGGAACAGUGACUCCACCCUGAACAGCAGGCAGCUGGAGCCAAGAACGGAGACAGACAGUGUGGGCACACCACAGAGUAAUGGAGGGAUGCGCCUGCAUGACUUUGUUUCUAAGACGGUUAUUAAACCUGAAUCCUGUGUUCCAUGUGGAAAGCGGAUAAAAUUUGGCAAAUUAUCUCUGAAGUGUCGAGACUGUCGUGUGGUCUCUCAUCCAGAAUGUCGGGACCGCUGUCCCCUUCCCUGCAUUCCUACCC
This 581-nucleotide small RNA is filed under the name Pongo abelii (Sumatran orangutan). Its description in RNAcentral is "processed transcript". The record is from RNAcentral. Lineage: Eukaryota; Metazoa; Chordata; Mammalia; Primates; Hominidae.